Molecule: ribosomal RNA, 253 nt
Filed under: uncultured bacterium
Lineage: Bacteria
Description: partial 16S ribosomal RNA
Rfam family: Bacterial small subunit ribosomal RNA
Source: RNAcentral
UACGGAGGAGGCAAGCGUUAUCCGGAAUUAUUGGGCGUAAAGCGUCCGCAGGUGGUUAAUCAAGUCUGCUGUCAAAGCGCGAGGCUCAACUUCGUAAAGGCAGUGGAAACUGAUUGACUUGAGUUUGGUAGGGGUAGAGGGAAUUCCCAGUGUAGCGGUGAAAUGCGUAGAUAUCAGGAGGAACACCAAUGGCGAAGGCAGCUCGCUGGGACGGUACUGACGCUGAGGCGCGAAAGCGUGGGGAGCAAACAGG